UGGAACUUUUUGGGGAAUGUCAUUCUCUAA
This 30-nucleotide non-coding RNA is filed under the name Mus musculus (house mouse). Lineage: Eukaryota; Metazoa; Chordata; Mammalia; Rodentia; Muridae. The record is from RNAcentral.